This 76-nucleotide transfer RNA is filed under the name Alphaproteobacteria bacterium. RNAcentral's name for it is "tRNA-Lys". It matches the Rfam family "tRNA". From Rfam's summary of the family: Transfer RNA (tRNA) molecules are approximately 80 nucleotides in length. Their secondary structure includes four short double-helical elements and three loops (D, anti-codon, and T loops). Lineage: Bacteria; Pseudomonadati; Pseudomonadota; Alphaproteobacteria. The record is from RNAcentral.
GGGCGAUUAGCUCAGGCGGUAGAGCAGCUGACUCUUAAUCAGCGGGUCGUAGGUUCGAGUCCUACAUCGCCCACCA